Molecule: ribosomal RNA, 446 nt
Filed under: uncultured bacterium
Lineage: Bacteria
Description: bacterial SSU rRNA
Rfam family: Bacterial small subunit ribosomal RNA
Source: RNAcentral
UGCCAGACUCCUACGGGAGGCAGCAGUGGGGAAUAUUGCACAAUGGGGGAAACCCUGAUGCAGCGACGCCGCGUGAGUGAUGAAGUAUUUCGGUAUGUAAAGCUCUAUCAGCAGGGAAGAUAAUGACGGUACCUGACUAAGAAGCUCCGGCUAAAUACGUGCCAGCAGCCGCGGUAAUACGUAUGGAGCAAGCGUUAUCCGGAUUUACUGGGUGUAAAGGGUGCGUAGGUGGCAGGGCAAGUCAGAUGUGAAAGCCCGGGGCUCAACCCCGGUACUGCAUUUGAAACUGUCCAGCUGGAGUGCAGGAGAGGUAAGCGGAAUUCCUAGUGUAGCGGUGAAAUGCGUAGAUAUUAGGAGGAACACCAGUGGCGAAGGCGGCUUACUGGACUGUAACUGACACUGAGGCACGAAAGCGUGGGGAGCAAACAGGAUUAGAUACCCCCGUA